UACGGGGGGGGCUAGCGUUGUUCGGAAUUACUGGGCGUAAAGGGCGCGUAGGCGGUCUGCUAAGUUGGAUGUGAAAACUCUGGGCUUAACCCAGAGCCUGCAUUCAAUACUGACAGGCUAGAGUUCUGGAGGGGAUAGCGGAAUUCCUGGUGUAGCGGUGAAAUGCGUAGAUAUCAGGAGGAACACCGGUGGCGAAGGCGGCUAUCUGGACAGAAACUGACGCUGAGGCGCGAAAGCGUGGGGAGCAAACAGG
RNAcentral lists this ribosomal RNA (253 nucleotides) under uncultured bacterium. Its description in RNAcentral is "partial 16S ribosomal RNA". It matches the Rfam family "Bacterial small subunit ribosomal RNA", at positions 524 to 776 of the family's 1533-position model. The record is from RNAcentral.